UACAGAGGGGGCAAGCGUUGUUCGGAAUUACUGGGCGUAAAGGGCGCGUAGGCGGCCUGUUAAGUCGAACGUGAAAUCCCUGGGCUCAACCCAGGAACUGCGUCCGAUACUGGCAGGCUUGAAUUCGGGAGAGGGAUGCAGAAUUCCAGGUGUAGCGGUGAAAUGCGUAGAUAUCUGGAGGAAUACCGGUGGCGAAGGCGGCAUCCUGGACCGGCAUUGACGCUGAGGAGCGAAAGCCAGGGGAGCAAACGGG
This 253-nucleotide ribosomal RNA is filed under the name uncultured bacterium. Its description in RNAcentral is "partial 16S ribosomal RNA". It matches the Rfam family "Bacterial small subunit ribosomal RNA", at positions 524 to 776 of the family's 1533-position model. The record is from RNAcentral.